GAACGCUGGCGGCGUGCCUAAUACAUGCAAGUCGAGCGGACAGAUGGGAGCUUGCUCCCUGAUGUUAGCGGCGGACGGGUGAGUAACACGUGGGUAACCUGCCUGUAAGACUGGGAUAACUCCGGGAAACCGGGGCUAAUACCGGAUGCUUGAUUGAACCGCAUGGUUCAAUUAUAAAAGGUGGCUUUUAGCUACCACUUACAGAUGGACCCGCGGCGCAUUAGCUAGUUGGUGAGGUAACGGCUCACCAAGGCAACGAUGCGUAGCCGACCUGAGAGGGUGAUCGGCCACACUGGGACUGAGACACGGCCCAGACUCCUACGGGAGGCAGCAGUAGGGAAUCUUCCGCAAUGGACGAAAGUCUGACGGAGCAACGCCGCGUGAGUGAUGAAGGUUUUCGGAUCGUAAAACUCUGUUGUUAGGGAAGAACAAGUACCGUUCGAAUAGGGCGGUACCUUGACGGUACCUAACCAGAAAGCCACGGCUAACUACGUGCCAGCAGCCGCGGUAAUACGUAGGUGGCAAGCGUUGUCCGGAAUUAUUGGGCGUAAAGCGCGCGCAGGCGGUUUCUUAAGUCUGAUGUGAAAGCCCCCGGCUCAACCGGGGAGGGUCAUUGGAAACUGGGGAACUUGAGUGCAGAAGAGGAGAGUGGAAUUCCACGUGUAGCGGUGAAAUGCGUAGAGAUGUGGAGGAACACCAGUGGCGAAGGCGACUCUCUGGUCUGUAACUGACGCUGAGGCGCGAAAGCGUGGGGAGCGAACAGGAUUAGAUACCCUGGUAGUCCACGCCGUAAACGAUGAGUGCUAAGUGUUAGAGGGUUUCCGCCCUUUAGUGCUGCAGCAAACGCAUUAAGCACUCCGCC
RNAcentral lists this ribosomal RNA (862 nucleotides) under Bacillus sp. M_Sw_HS_07/10_7_2(1). Its description in RNAcentral is "bacterial SSU rRNA". It matches the Rfam family "Bacterial small subunit ribosomal RNA", at positions 31 to 873 of the family's 1533-position model. Lineage: Bacteria; Bacillati; Bacillota; Bacilli; Caryophanales; Bacillaceae. The record is from RNAcentral.